This 545-nucleotide long non-coding RNA is filed under the name Androctonus crassicauda. The record is from RNAcentral. Lineage: Eukaryota; Metazoa; Arthropoda; Arachnida; Scorpiones; Buthidae.
GCUGUCCAGUAGGCCUAGUGUUUCUGUCACACGAGAGGGAUAGCAUCUACCAUUCACCCCUCAGCAUCCUGGGAGCUUCUUCUUGAAUGAAGACUGUAAAUUUGGUCAAGUCAACUCUUAGUUCGGUUUCCUUAACCAUUUGAAUGAUUGACUGUGUGUCCUGCGUGUAUUUCUCUUUGGCAGCGACCAGAGUUACACUGAUGUGUCUCAACCGACCCACUCGGCUGGCAACCACCUAUUUAUUUUCUUCAACACCCCUUGAAGUUGUCCAGUAGGAGACAGAUUAUUUGCUCUCUCUCCCCUUGAGUUAGAAAUCAGGGAUGUGUGCUCUUCCCCUAGACCUGCAAUGUUCAUUAAACACCUAUAGCAAGGAUGGUGGUGGUCCUUCUGUUACCGAAGUCACCCUUCACUGUGGCUGUCUGAAAAGGAGAUGUACUUGGACGUUGUGUAAAUCUUGAGAUAAACUGUCUUGGAGAUUUAACCACCUCUCUGACGGGGGACCAACUCUAUGGAAACUGUAAAUAAGUUUUAUUUAUAAACCUGGC